Macaca fascicularis (crab-eating macaque) is the source of this 148-nucleotide unclassified non-coding RNA. It matches the Rfam family "Metazoan signal recognition particle RNA". From Rfam's summary of the family: The signal recognition particle (SRP) is a universally conserved ribonucleoprotein. It is involved in the co-translational targeting of proteins to membranes. The record is from Ensembl. NCBI's taxonomy places the organism in Eukaryota, Metazoa, Chordata, Mammalia, Primates, Cercopithecidae.
GCUGGGCAUGGUGGUGCAUGCCUGUAAUCCCAGCUACUCGGGAGGCUGAGGCAGGAGAAUUGCUUGAACCUGGGAGGCAGAAGUUGCAGUGAGCUGAGAUCUUGCCACUGCACUCCAGCCUGGGUGACAGAGCAAGACUCUGUCUCAA